AAUUGAUUCUGUUUGGGACAAACUGUUCUGCUGCUGAUGAAAAUAGUUGCAUUUCAAGUAGAUGAUUUUGAAAAUGGACUGGGAACAACCAAAAAAUUUUCCAUAAACAAUGUACUGAACAGGAACAGAGUGACUGAAUUUUGAACACUGCAGCCCAGCUCUUAAGACACACAAGCUGGCAAGUUUGAAAUCACAUAUAUGAAGAUUCUCCUUUAAUAAGAAAACAGAACACAAGACUCUAUCUAAGCAGAAAACAUGUUUUCCUGUAAUACAAAGCAAGCUGAAGAGAUUGUGUCUGGCAAACAGAAAACGAAAGGAAGGAUGUCAAAGUGAACUUAUUAUCAGCCACUGAUGUUUAAGUAAAAGAACUACAUGGAUCCUGAGUGCACAUCCUUACUUCUCGUAUCUCAUCCUUACGCCUCUUAUCGCAAUAGUAAAAUAGUUGCAAAUAUAGUAUUAAAAAAAGCAUGUCUGUGCUGUAACUGUUGAAACUCUUCCAAAUAAACCUUCUGUCCCAAAUUUUGCAAAAACAAUACUAAGAUUCGGUGUCACAGUGUUCUAAGAGACAGAUUUACUAAAAUAAUAAUGAGAAUUAUUACAUGGAAAGCAGUCCAGUGCCAUGUUGAAGUAUUAACUGCUUGCUGCUCAUUGUGUAUCUUUUUAACAAUAAUUCUGAGUAAUUGCUUUAGGUAAAUAAUUAAACCAAUUCACAUGAAAUUUCAUUUAUAGAUAUUAUAUUAUCUACCACACACUUGAAUAAAUUGAAACUAUGCUUCUAUAAACAGUGUGUAUGGACUUUAUUCCACAUCAGUGUCACUUAGUGCAGCCCCGUCCCUCACAGAUGCUUGAAGGUGGGAACAGUCUCCACGUGCACACGGAUAACCUGUUAAUAUUCACUGCAUCAGUGGCCUCAAAGAGAUGAGAACUGCAUUUGUCUGUGAAAGCCAAGGGGCCUUCUGAAAGUUCGGCGAUACUAAGCAAUACAUUCCUCAUGCAAAUAUGUAUAUUAUGAAGAAUGUUCUUUAAGAUGAGUCUUAAUGGAGAAUAAACAUUUUCUACUUGGCUGCUUGACCAUCUGACUGCGCUUUUACAAGUCCAUCCCAUAAUAAACAGGCAGGAAUACAUGCACAUACUUGCAUUCUGAGAAGCUCUAAUACCUCUGUGGUUUUAUUCCAGUGGGUUUUGAA
Numida meleagris (helmeted guineafowl) is the source of this 1187-nucleotide long non-coding RNA. RefSeq lists it as uncharacterized. The record is from RefSeq and is a predicted model, not a curated record. NCBI's taxonomy places the organism in Eukaryota, Metazoa, Chordata, Aves, Galliformes, Numididae. The transcript is spliced from 3 exons.